GCCCAGCCGUAAACUUUAACUUACAUUAAAAUCGCCAGGGAACUACGAGCUAAGCUUAAAACCCAAAGGACUUGACGGUACCCCAUAUCCCCCUAGAGGAGCCUGUUCUAUAAUCGAUAAUCCACGUUUAACCUCACCAUUUUUAGUUAAUCAGCCUGUAUACCUCCGUCGUCAGCUUACCACGUGAGCGCCAAUUAGUGAGCUUAAUGUCUUUCACCAACACGUCAGGUCAAGGUGCAGCAAAUGAAAUGGGAAGAGAUGGGCUACACUUUCUAUAUUAGAAAAAACGAAAAACUACUUAUGAAAACUAGUUGGAAGGCGGAUUUAGCAGUAAAAAGGAAUCAGAACGUCCAUUUUAACCCGGCACUGGGGUGUGUACACACCGCCCGUCACCCUCUUCAAAGCUUAUAACCUAGUUCUUAACAAACUAAAGCAUAACAGAAUAGGCAAGUCGUAACAUGGUAAGUAUACCGGAAGGUGUGCUUGGAAA
Molecule: ribosomal RNA, 490 nt
Filed under: Rhinella crucifer (striped toad)
Lineage: Eukaryota; Metazoa; Chordata; Amphibia; Anura; Bufonidae
Description: partial small subunit ribosomal RNA
Rfam family: Bacterial small subunit ribosomal RNA
Source: RNAcentral